This 543-nucleotide small RNA is filed under the name Pan troglodytes (chimpanzee). RNAcentral's name for it is "retained intron". The record is from RNAcentral. Lineage: Eukaryota; Metazoa; Chordata; Mammalia; Primates; Hominidae.
ACUUGUUAAUAACUUGAUGCCUGAGUAUUAUUAAUAAUUCAGUACAGAUGAAAUAAUUGAAAUGUUACAUUAUCUUUGCUUUUGUAGACUGUCAUGUUUAAGUGAGGAUACAUAAUAAAUCAUUUUUAUUUUAAGGACCGCAGAAUACUGGCCAUGGUGCAACUUCUGGUUUUGGCAGUGCUUUUACAGGACAACAAGGAUAUGAAAAUUCAGGACCAGGGUUCUGGACAGGCUUGGGAACUGGUGGAAUACUAGGAUAUUUGUUUGGCAGCAAUAGAGCGGCAACACCCUUCUCAGACUCGUGGUACUACCCGUCCUAUUCUCCCUCCUACCCUGGCACGUGGAAUAGGGCUUACUCACCCCUUCGUGGAGGCUCGGGCAGCUAUUCGGUAUGUUCAAACUCAGACACGAAAACCAGAACUGCAUCAGGUAAGAGCAAAAAAUACAAGUUCCUUUUACCUAGGAGUAAAGUACAGAAAUAGUUUGGGAACUUUAGAAGAUGAUUAUCUGUUUAGCAACCAUGGUUUUAUUUGGUGUACCUAC